GGAAAGGUGGGUGAGUGGCUGAAACCAGCGCCCUGCUAAGGCGCCGUACCCUUACGGGUACCGCGGGUUCAAAUCCCGCCCUUUCCGCCA
Molecule: transfer RNA, 90 nt
Filed under: Nautilia sp.
Lineage: Bacteria; Pseudomonadati; Campylobacterota; Epsilonproteobacteria; Nautiliales; Nautiliaceae
Description: tRNA-Ser
Rfam family: tRNA
About the family: Transfer RNA (tRNA) molecules are approximately 80 nucleotides in length. Their secondary structure includes four short double-helical elements and three loops (D, anti-codon, and T loops).
Source: RNAcentral